UAACACGUAGGAGGCAAACGUUAUCCGGAAUUACUGGGCGUAAAGCGCACGUAGGCGGCAUCGUAAGUCCGACGUGAAAGCUCCUGGCUUAACUGGGAGAGGCCGUUGGAUACUGCGAAGCUCGAGGUUGGGAGAGGAGAGUGGAAUUCCCGGUGUAGUGGUGGAAUGCGUAGAUAUCGGGAGGAACUCCAGUGGCGAAAGCGACUCUCUGGCCUACACCUGACGCUAAAGUGCGAAAGCGUGGGGAGCGAACAGG
This 256-nucleotide ribosomal RNA is filed under the name uncultured bacterium. RNAcentral describes it as "partial 16S ribosomal RNA". It matches the Rfam family "Bacterial small subunit ribosomal RNA", at positions 521 to 776 of the family's 1533-position model. The record is from RNAcentral.